CACCACUCAAGCCUCGCUUGGUAUUGGGCGACGCGGUCCGCCGCGCGCCUCAAAUCGACCGGCUGGGUCUUCUGUCCCCUCAGCGUUGUGGAAACUAUUCGCUAAAGGGGGCCAUGGGAGGUCACGCCGUAAAACAAGCCCAUUUCUAA
Molecule: unclassified non-coding RNA, 149 nt
Filed under: uncultured Cladosporium
Lineage: Eukaryota; Fungi; Ascomycota; Dothideomycetes; Cladosporiales; Cladosporiaceae
Description: sequence contains ITS2
Source: RNAcentral